UACGUAGGGGGCAAGCGUUAUCCGGGUUUACUGGGUGUAAAGGGAGCGCAGACGGAUGGAUAAGUCUGAAGUGAAAGCCCGCGGCUCAACUGCGGGACUGCUUUGGAAACUGUGCAUCUUGAGUACGGGAGGGGCAGGCGGAAUUCCUGGUGUAGCGGUGAAAUGCGUAGAUAUCAGGAGGAACACCGGCGGCGAAGGCGGCCUGCUGGACCGAAACUGACGUUGAGGCUCGAAAGCGUGGGGAGCAAACAGG
Molecule: ribosomal RNA, 253 nt
Filed under: uncultured bacterium
Lineage: Bacteria
Description: partial 16S ribosomal RNA
Rfam family: Bacterial small subunit ribosomal RNA
Source: RNAcentral